UACAGAGGUCCCAAGCGUUGUUCGGAUUCAUUGGGCGUAAAGGGCGCGUAGGCGGCGCGGUAAGUCGGGUGUGAAAUCUCGGGGCUUAACUCCGAAACUGCAUUCGAUACUGCCGGGCUUGAGGACUGGAGAGGAGACUGGAAUUUACGGUGUAGCGGUGAAAUGCGUAGAUAUCGUAAGGAAGACCAGUGGCGAAGGCGGGUCUCUGGACAGUUCCUGACGCUGAGGCACGAAGGCCAGGGGAGCAAACGGG
RNAcentral lists this ribosomal RNA (253 nucleotides) under uncultured bacterium. Its description in RNAcentral is "partial 16S ribosomal RNA". It matches the Rfam family "Bacterial small subunit ribosomal RNA", at positions 524 to 776 of the family's 1533-position model. The record is from RNAcentral.